UACGUAGGUGGCGAGCGUUGUCCGGAUUUAUUGGGCGUAAAGCGCGCGCAGGCGGUUGACUAAGUCUGGUGUGAAAUUUCCCGGCUUAACUGGGAAGGGUCAUUGGAUACUGGUCAGCUUGAGGAAGGUAGAGGAGAGUGGAAUUCCCGGUGUAGUGGUGGAAUGCGUAGAUAUCGGGAGGAACACCAGUGGCGAAAGCGGCUCUCUGGGCCUUUCCUGACGCUGAGGCGCGAAAGCGUGGGGAGCGAACCGG
RNAcentral lists this ribosomal RNA (253 nucleotides) under uncultured bacterium. RNAcentral's name for it is "partial 16S ribosomal RNA". It matches the Rfam family "Bacterial small subunit ribosomal RNA", at positions 524 to 776 of the family's 1533-position model. The record is from RNAcentral.